GAUGAACGCUGGUGGCGUGCCUAACACAUGCAAGUCGAGCGAUUCUCUUCGGAGAAGAGCGGCGGACGGGUGAGUAACGCGUGGGUAAUCUGCCCUGUACACACGGAUAACAUACCGAAAGGUAUGCUAAUACGAGAUAACAUGCUUUUAUCGCAUGGUAGAAGUAUCAAAGCUUUUGCGGUACAGGAUGGACCCGCGUCUGAUUAGCUAGUUGGUGAGGUAACGGCUCACCAAGGCGACGAUCAGUAGCCGACCUGAGAGGGUGAUCGGCCACAUUGGAACUGAGACACGGUCCAAACUCCUACGGGAGGCAGCAGUGGGGAAUAUUGCACAAUGGGCGAAAGCCUGAUGCAGCAACGCCGCGUGAGCGAUGAAGGCCUUCGGGUCGUAAAGCUCUGUCCUCAAGGAAGAUAAUGACGGUACUUGAGGAGGAAGCCCCGGCUAACUACGUG
RNAcentral lists this ribosomal RNA (452 nucleotides) under uncultured bacterium. Its description in RNAcentral is "partial 16S ribosomal RNA". It matches the Rfam family "Bacterial small subunit ribosomal RNA", at positions 28 to 507 of the family's 1533-position model. The record is from RNAcentral.